GGCAUGGUGGCGCCAUGGUUAGCAUUGAUGCCUCACAAUAAGGAGGUUCUGGGUUCAAAUCCUAGCCAGCCA
Gymnothorax javanicus (giant moray) is the source of this 72-nucleotide non-coding RNA. The record is from the annotation of a GenBank genome assembly. NCBI's taxonomy places the organism in Eukaryota, Metazoa, Chordata, Actinopteri, Anguilliformes, Muraenidae.